UACGUAGGUGGCAAGCGUUGUCCGGGUUUAUUGGGCGUAAAGCGAGUGCAGGCGGUUCAAUAAGUCUGAUGUGAAAGCCUUCGGCUCAACCGGAGAAUUGCAUCAGAAACUGUUGAACUUGAGUGCAGAAGAGGAGAGUGGAACUCCAUGUGUAGCGGUGGAAUGCGUAGAUAUAUGGAAGAACGCCAGUGGCGAAGGCGGCUCUCUGGUCUGCAACUGACGCUGAGGCUCGAAAGCAUGGGUAGCGAACAGG
RNAcentral lists this ribosomal RNA (253 nucleotides) under uncultured bacterium. Its description in RNAcentral is "partial 16S ribosomal RNA". It matches the Rfam family "Bacterial small subunit ribosomal RNA", at positions 524 to 776 of the family's 1533-position model. The record is from RNAcentral.